CCUGGCCUCAAGGGAUCCACCCACCUCGAAUUCCCAAAGUGCUGGGAUCACAGGUGUGAGCCACCGCGGACGACCUAUAAAAACUUUUAUCCCUUUCAUUUUCUCAUAGACUCCCGUUUAAGUUCUUGCUCUGUUUUGGGGGAAAGUGUUUAUUGUUUGAUUUUCUAAUAACGAAAACAUUAGAGUAGCUUCAUUUAUGCUGCCUGUUUCAAGCCAAUACACUGCUCAGUUGUGUUUGUGUAUUUGAAAAGUCCCCUGAUAGGAACUUUCUGAGGGGUGCCUGUGUUGUUGGCACAUUUGAGAACUAGACAAAAUCUAACUCUGUGUCUUUUUUCUUUCUUUUUCCCCUAUUAUUUGGUUUUGUUUUUUUAACAACCCCUCUGGAGUGUGUUUUGGUUCAUGGGAUCAGGCCACGUGCCCUGGUUUUCGAGGUAUAGCCUUGGCUUUCUUGGGUCGGGUCUAAUAACCCUGACCUUGGACUUCCCACGUGUCCUUCAAAGAAAGCAAUUAUUUUUGCCUAUUUUCUGAGUAUGAUGGUAUUCUCCAUUUGAUUUAACAAAAAAAUUCUUCCUCUGCUUUAAAAGACUGAAAGCCUCCCUGUAAGGUGCUGAUUGCCUUCCAGAUCUGAGGACCCCGUCUCUGCCUCAUUCCUCCUGUUUCCAUCAGAAGACACAGGUCUGGGACUCAGCGCAGCUGACCUGUCUGUCCCUCUCUGCACAGUUUACUCCUGGGCUCUGCAGAGAGAAGUCAGUGCCUCAAUUUUCCAUUGAAAUAUGCACCCUUGGCAUCCUGGCAGCUCACAAUUAUAGUUUCUAUGAUUUGAAUCAUCAGAAGAGCAAACUUGAUAAUCCUGGAAAUUUAGGAGACAUGAGGUCAUGGAAGGUCGUGGAAGGUCCUGAAGGUGAGUAUUCUGUCAGGAACGGUGUGUUCGCCUUCCUUAUGCUCCUGCUAAGCCCUCUCUCUAAAGUUGUGUAUUCUGCUCGAAAACUUCCCUUGCCAGAGGAUACUUUUCAUGAAUAAAUGCUCUCCAGUUCUUGUCAUUGCUAAGUACAGUUCUUGGGUUACUUUGCAUGUCUCUCCAAUAUCAAUUUGAUGGAGUGUCUUCGAGGAACUGGCAACGUGCCAAACACUAUAUGCAGGGAUUUGCCUACAUUCAAUCAUUUAAUCCUCCCAACAACACUGUGAGACUGACAAGAUUCUUAGCUCCCCUCCAUGGCUGAUGAAGUGGCAUCUCAGUGAACUGAAGGAAGUUGCUGGAAUUCCAACCUGUGCUGUCCAAUUACCAGGCCUAUGAUCUUGGCCCCUAAGCUAUCUUUGGGAGGGCCUGCCAGUGCUUGGAUUUCCUGUUUCUGUCUCUUUCCCUGCUGGCUGAAGUUAACAAUCAGUAUUUCACAGGGCCCUCUGAAAUUUCCUUCCCCUUCAAAUAUCAGCCUUAUGCUGGUACUGGGGAUACCCAGGGAGUGAGACGUGGUCUCCAGCUUAUAGAUGCUCGAAGUAAAAGAGGAGAUGGAACAAUUGUCACAGUUACCUAUUGCCACGGUGAUGCUGAGUAACAAACCACCUGUAACUCUGUGGCUUUAUUCUUGCUCUCUGUCUGCA
This 1599-nucleotide long non-coding RNA is filed under the name Homo sapiens (human). RNAcentral's name for it is "HSALNT0387448". The record is from RNAcentral. Lineage: Eukaryota; Metazoa; Chordata; Mammalia; Primates; Hominidae.